CCCUGGCUCAGAACGAACGCUGGCGGCAGGCUUAACACAUGCAAGUCGAGCGCCCCUCCUUCAAGCAAGCUUGAAGGAUUUUUAUCCUUGAAAAGGAAGAUCAAGAACGCUUCUAAGAAGCUUUCUUGAUGGAGGGGAGCGGCAGACGGGUGAGUAACGCGUGGGAAUCUACCCAUCUCUACGGAAUAACUCAGGGAAACUUGUGCUAAUACCGUAUACGCCCUUCGGGGGAAAGAUUUAUCGGAGAUGGAUGAGCCCGCGUUGGAUUAGCUAGUUGGUGGGGUAAAGGCCUACCAAGGCGACGAUCCAUAGCUGGUCUGAGAGGAUGAUCAGCCACAUUGGGACUGAGACACGGCCCAAACUCCUACGGGAGGCAGCAGUGGGGAAUAUUGGACAAUGGGCGCAAGCCUGAUCCAGCCAUGCCGCGUGAGUGAUGAAGGCCUUAGGGUUGUAAAGCUCUUUCACCGGAGAAGAUAAUGACGGUAUCCGGAGAAGAAGCCCCGGCUAACU
RNAcentral lists this ribosomal RNA (510 nucleotides) under Rhizobium sp. CL4.49. RNAcentral's name for it is "bacterial SSU rRNA". It matches the Rfam family "Bacterial small subunit ribosomal RNA", at positions 17 to 502 of the family's 1533-position model. The record is from RNAcentral. Lineage: Bacteria; Pseudomonadati; Pseudomonadota; Alphaproteobacteria; Hyphomicrobiales; Rhizobiaceae.